This 400-nucleotide ribosomal RNA is filed under the name uncultured bacterium. RNAcentral's name for it is "bacterial SSU rRNA". It matches the Rfam family "Bacterial small subunit ribosomal RNA", at positions 90 to 507 of the family's 1533-position model. The record is from RNAcentral.
GCCUAGUGGCGGACGGGUGAGUAACACGUGACCAACCAACCUCGAAGUUGGGAAUAGCUCUGCGAAAGCAGGGGUAAUACCGAAUGUGGCCCGGAGCGGACAUCCGCACCGGUCUAAAGAUUUAUCGCUUCGAGACGGGGUCGCGGCCUAUUAGCUUGUUGGUGGGGUAACGGCCUACCAAGGCGAUGAUGGGUAGCUGGUCUGAGAGGACGACCAGCCACACUGGGACUGAGACACGGCCCAGACUCCUACGGGAGGCAGCAGUGAGGAAUCUUCCGCAAUGGGCGAAAGCCUGACGGAGCAACGCCGCGUGUGGGAUGAACACUUUAGGGUUGUAAACCACUGUCGGAGGGGACGAUCGUGACGGUACCCUCCAAGAAAGCCCCGGCUUAACUACGUG